CAUCUGCCACCCCCUUCCCUUUUGCCUUCAAUCUUUCCUAGCAUGAAGGUCUGUUCCAUUGAGUUGGCUCUUCACAUCAGGUGGCCAAAGUAUUGGAGCUUCUGCAUCAGCAUUGGUCCUUCCAAUGAAUAUUCAGGAUUGAUUUCCUUUAGGAUCGACUGGUUUGAUCUCCUGGAAAUUCUUGUUGUACCCAUCAGGGGUUUUGGACCCCUACGUGCAGCUGACCCCUGGGCCUUUCCAUCCAAAGCAUCCACACUCUCAUCAGAUGCGGCAUGCUUGACUGUCGAUACCAUCUUCCCAGCUGCAUUGACUCUACUCCUACUGAGAGAAGAAACAAACGCACCUAACCAGUAUUGAGCAUCACAGCACACGUGGCCCAGUUCCAAGUUCUUUAUGUUUCAUCUUCGGAUCCGUUGUCGUCUCUAUUUUACAGCUGAGAUGUUGCCUCUUUUAGGAAGAAGGCAGAGUGACAAUGACAGCAAAGCCAUUGACUAACUAAUCAAGCUGCUUCUACAUUCUUACUCCUGACUCAUGCCUCAGCCCAGAGCUGUGUGACUCCCUCCACACCAUCACUCGAUGGAAAGUGCUUUGGCAAAGGUCACCAGUAACCACCGUACUGCCAGAUCCAGUGGAGGCUUCUGGUCCUUCUUUAUUUACCAUGGAUAUAUUUAAAAAUUCGUUUAUUUUUUGCUGGGUCUUUGUUGCUGUGCAUGGGCUUUCUCUAGUUGAGAUGAGCAGGGGCUGCUGUUUACUGCAGACUGCGAACUUCACGUUGCAGUGGCUUCUUUGUUGCAGAGCUUGGGCUGUAGAGCGCGUGGACUCAGAGUUGUGGUGCGUGGGCUGAGUAGCUCUGCAGUAUGUGGAAUCUUUCUGGACCAGGGAUCAAACCUGUGUCCCUGGAAUUGGAAGGCAAAUUCUUAACCACUGGACCACCAGGGAAGUCCUUGCCAUUGAUGUUGACCCCACUGACCACCCACUGUUCCUUCCUGAGCUCUCCUCCUGGUACCUGGGAUACCGCUCUGUCCCCAUUUCCUCCCUGGUUUCCUUUUCUCCUCUUUUCUUUGCAGGAUCCUUUCCCUCUGCCAGUCCUCAAAGCUGGGCACUCCCCGUGGCUCUGUCCUGGAGCUGCUGCUCCUUCCACUGGAUGUGACCUACCUAGGUAACUCCCUGAUCAUCCAGUCAUUGUGGUCACCACCCUUCCUUGCUCACGGGUCCCAAACCUCUCUCUCUGUAGUCCUGGGUCCCACCCUGGUGUCAUACUCACGUCUCCA
Molecule: long non-coding RNA, 1271 nt
Filed under: Capra hircus (goat)
Lineage: Eukaryota; Metazoa; Chordata; Mammalia; Artiodactyla; Bovidae
Description: lncRNA (ENSCHIG00000001072.1)
Source: RNAcentral